RNAcentral lists this long non-coding RNA (710 nucleotides) under Durio zibethinus. RNAcentral describes it as "long non-coding RNA (DZIB_LNC002302)". The record is from RNAcentral. Lineage: Eukaryota; Viridiplantae; Streptophyta; Magnoliopsida; Malvales; Malvaceae.
AUUGGUCACUUCGAUCCAAUCUUAUCUUUACUCUCUCGUUGCACCUGUCUAUGUGCAUCUAUAUCUCUUAUCCCCAAUAUUUAAGCUACAUGUCUAUUGAUAAUCAAGAUGAUCAAGAUGAGUCAGAUUGAAACUAGCUCAUUUUUUACAAACACAGCCUUGCAGUUACACCUGGCCUUUUAUAUGUUCCAACAGGUUACAGUUAUCACACUCCUUAUCUGCUGUAUUUGAUCCUCAUCCAUUUCAGACAAAUUCAUCAUUGAAAAUAUUUGCAUUCUAUCAACCUUAUACCCUAUACCCAAUCCAAACUCUAUCCCUGAAACUCAUUCACAUAAUAGCUUGGCAUGUUCAAUGGAUUCAUUUUCGCUUUGGCGAAUAGGACAUAAAGGCACAAAUUAUAAAAGCAAUCGAGGAAGUAUAAGGAAGGAGGGAAUGGUUUGGCCAAAGCUAUGUGGAUGGUAAGUAUGUGAAGGCCGAAUACCACAUACUGAAGGAUGCCGAGGAGUUGAUUUGGUACUUUGUCUGUAAUACCUAAAAUUAACCCUUUCUUGUGGAGAGGUUGUGGUUACAAUAUUGCCACAAUUUUAAAUUUACGGAGAAAGAAGAUAAGAUCAUCACCUUGAUGUGAUGAAAGAUCAUUUUAAUCAGGUAUGAUUGUACAUAUGAAAAAUGAAUAUAAAAAUAAUAUACUUUAAAAUUUUGAUAAAAAC